This is an RNA transcript of Bubalus bubalis (water buffalo), 3379 nucleotides long. It is a transcript of the gene named steroid 5 alpha-reductase 1, with no coding region annotated. The transcript is spliced from 6 exons. NCBI's taxonomy places the organism in Eukaryota, Metazoa, Chordata, Mammalia, Artiodactyla, Bovidae. The record is from RefSeq and is a predicted model, not a curated record.
CAGGGCGUGGGCGGGGCGGGCCCGCAGCGCGCACCCAAGACUGGUGAGACGGUCGGGGAGGGCCUGGAGUGGCGGGGUUCUUGCCGUGUGGGCGUGGCGAGCGGGCGCCCCGGGCGUCCCACCCCGUCCCCGGCGCGCACCCAGGACUAGGGAGACGGGUGGCGUGUGGCUCCGGGGCCGCCCGCACAGGGCGGAUCCGGGCCUAGGCUUUGGCCGCGGGCGCCAGCCUCAGGUAACCGCGCCUCCCGCCCCCCACCCCACCCCGCCCGCAGCCGCCGCCGCCCUAUAUGUGGCCCGACGCAGCACCCGGGCCAUGGAGCACACCUGCCGUCGCCCACCAUGGAGCUGGCCGAGCGGUUCCUGCUGGACGCGCUCGCCUACCUGGAAUGCGCCCUGGGCGUCGUGUGCUACGUGCUGCUGAAGCUGGUGGGCUCGCCCUACGGGCGCUACGCGUCGUCCGGCUCUGCCUUCGGGCUGCCAGCGCGGGCCGCCUGGGCAGUGCAGGAGCUGCCCUCGCUGGCCCUGCCGCUCCUCGCGUGCGUGGGCGCAGGCGCGCCGGCCGAGCGCCUCAACCGCUGGCCCAACUGCAUCCUCCUGGCCAUGUUCCUCGUCCACUAUGCGCAACGGACCUUGGUUUUCCCAUUUCUGAUCCGAGGAGGGAAGCCCAUGCCGCUGUAUGCCUUCCUGUUGGCAUUCAUCUUCUGCACCUAUAACGGCUACCUGCAGAGCAGGUACCUGAGUCAGUACGCAGUGUACGCGGACGACUGGCUCAGCGACCCCCGGUUUCUAACAGGUUCUGCCUUAUGGUUGAUAGGCAUGCUGAUUAACAUCCACUCAGAUCAUGUCCUGAGGAACCUCAGGAAACCAGGGGAGACUGGCUAUAAAAUACCAAGAGGGGGCUUCUUUGAAUACAUAUCUGCAGCCAACUACUUCGGAGAAGUCGUGGAGUGGUGCGGCUAUGCCCUCGCCAGCUGGUCCAUUCAGGGCUGGGCUUUUGCUGUGUUCAGCUUCUGUGUCCUGUUCACCAGGGCUCAGCAACAUCACAACAGAAGCACAGAGCGUUGAGCAUUGGACUACUGGAAGACUCCUUGUAAGCAAGGCUCCAGCCUCUGGGAUCUGAUGCCUGAUGAUGUGAGGUGGCGCUGAUAUAAUAAUAAAAGAAUAAUAAAAGAAAAUAAAGUACACAAUGCAUAUAAUGUGCUUGAAGUAUCCUGCAACCAUUCCCCUGACCUGGUCUUUGGACAAACCAUCUUCCACGAAACCAGCCCCUAGUGCCAAAAAGGUGGUACCAUGAGAAAUUUGAAGAUUAUCCAAAAUUCAGAAAAAUCAUGAUUCCAUUUUUGGUUUAAGUUUGUCGUCAGUGGAAUUAUCUUUGACUUGAAGCUUUUCGAUGAUGUUUCUCUUGGGACCAUGUAAUGAACUGAUGUCUCUGUAAUUUUUCUGGUACUUCACUGUUUUAAGAUUUGCUCUAGGAUUUUUUUUCCCUAGCAAAUGUGUAAGCUGCCUAAUAACAGUCUAAUCAAACUGAAAUCACAGGCUGAAGUAUGAUGCUGGCCACCAACCAGGUCAGGAAUCUGAACUCCUCUGAUUUGGGGUCUGCUUCCAUGGAGUGGGGCUUGGUGGCUCAAAUGGGAAAGAAUCCGCCUGCAGUGCAGGAGACCUGGGUUCCGUCCGUGGGUUGGGAACAUCCCCUGGCCCAGGGCAUGGCAACCCACUCCAGUAUUCUUGGCUGGAGAAUCCCAUGGACAGAGGAGCCUGGAGGGCUACAGUCCAUGGGGUCGCAGAGAGUCGGACGCGACUGAGCGACUGAUACUUUCACUUUUCACUUUCACUUUCCAUGAACUGAAACAUUUCUGUACCCCUUACACAACCUCUACAGCAUGAGUUUAAGGUCAAAGGUGACAUCCGCCUUCCCACCACCGGAGGCAUGUUCUAUCUUCAUGUCCCUCGUCCCGCCAGAUCAGACAGUUCUGGGUACCCACGGUGUACCCACAGCCUCUCACAAUUGGGUGCUGGGCGGGCAGAGAAGUUGGGCCUGCAGAGGCCCAGUGGAGGCUGGUACCAAAGGCCUCUGGCACCUGCUCUGGCCUGAUCCACCAGGUGACCUCACUGGGAGGCAGGGGGCCAGGGGCAUUCUUCAGGAGCAGGCCGCUGUAUCCCCCCCAGGAGGACUUCUGGUGGCCCUCAGCUGACAGCAUGAAGGUACCCCGGGCCAGCCCUCCCAUCAUGUCCUUCACCAGGCGCUGCUGGCCUGGGAUGGAUUUCCUUCCUCCUUUGAGGGAGAACUAGAAUUUUUUCAGGCACUUUUUUUUUUUUAAUUUUCAAGAUUGCACACCUGCAACUUGAAGCAGAAUUUCUUAUUCUCGAUGCUCCUAACUCUACGGAGAUCAAUGGCAGUAAUAACAUUGACUAGGUAUUGCCAGAUAUGUCAAAGGAGCCUCCCCUUUGGAAGGCUGUUGAGUCUCUGCUGUGAAAAUGUAAUGAACAUGGCAAAGACCCCCUCCUCUCCUCUGUUGCUUCUGCAUUUGCAGAGCUGGGAACUGGAAUGGGGGUGAGUGGAGAGAGUUCCUGUUCGCUUAUGAUUGCUGACCAUGCUGAGUGACAGGGGACUCCAAGACGCACGAUGUGGUGUCUUAUGCAUUCUUCAGCUGCUGCCUCCUGGCAGGGAGCACGCCCUCUGGCCCCUGCUCUCCGGGCCCCUGGGCACCCCAUCGGAUCAGCCCCCCUCUCCCCUUCUCCUGGUUCACCUUCCCAAGCAGGGGCUCCCUCCGCAUGAGUUUUCAUGUAGAAACUGUAUUCUCGGUGUUAGUGGUUUGUUACAGUCUCUUGGGGUUUUCGAAAAGCUUUUCCUGAUGUGGUUGUCCUUCAUUUUAACUAAAACUGGAAUGCUUUUGCAGGGAACUUUUAUGAUCAGAUAAACUCUGUGCUUCAUUUUAACUAAAACUGGAACGUUCUUGCAGGGAAACUUUAUGAUCAAAUAAACUUUGAACCUUUUUCUGACUGAAUAACAACCUGAAACUAUGAAACAGUAAAUAUUUAGAGUGUCCUCUGGAAAACUCAGAAAUCUGAGCAAGCCUUAACUGAUUUGGGCCCUGGGUCCUGGAAGGCGUACCUGGCCAAGAAGAGGCUUGUCUGGGAGUCAGAGAGGCCUGCUGGGGAUUCUGUGUCUGUUGGUGCUCCUUUUUUGUGAUCCAGAAUUUGGAGUUCAGUGGGGAUUUGAUGCUCGGUCCCUGCUUCACUGGCAUGCACUGUUUGACACAGGAAGAGAUCUCAGUGUGUCUCGUCUGCCUGUCUUCCAAUUACUAGACACUGUAACGUAGCAAGUUAUGACAGUUCGUUAUUGUGUUCAAUAUAAAAAUAAAGGAGAUUAAUAAAAUUA